AGGUAUUCAACUAACUACUAGAGGGAUUAGACAGGUAUUCAACUAACUACUAGAGGGAUUAGACAGGUAUUCAACUACUAGAGGGAUUAGACAGGUAUUCAACUACCUACUAGAGGGAUUAGACAGGUAUUCAACUAACUACUAGAGGGAU
Molecule: long non-coding RNA, 151 nt
Organism: Oncorhynchus keta (chum salmon)
Lineage: Eukaryota; Metazoa; Chordata; Actinopteri; Salmoniformes; Salmonidae
Exons: 3
Source: RefSeq, a predicted model, not a curated record